AUAAUCAAUCUUCUAAUAACUUCUCAUAUAAAUCAAUCACACAGUACUCCAAUUAUAUAAUCAAUAACUCAUAAAUCAAUCUCUGAUUUAUUCCAUAGACUCACUUCUCAGUAUUCAGAAACUAUCCAUUACUCUUCAACAACAAAGAAACAAAGAGGUAGCACUAAGCUUACCUUGGCUCAUGACCAUUAUAGUCUGGCCUCCAGACUAACUUCUAUAACUCCUAUAUACUUAUUCACUAUUUCCAGAUUCUAAUCGUAAUCCUGUAAUUAACCUUUUUUAAUAACUAAGUUAACCAUCUGUCCUCCUGAACUAACUAUUCUAUGGACUAUUAGUCUAUUUUACCAAUAUCUUAUAAAAAUGAACUAAUAUCUAUUCUACAUAGCUCCACUCCUAUUUGUGCAGCGUCCUCACAAACACACAAUUGUUACCUUCUUAAAAACUACUUAAUCGAACUUUAUAAAAUUACUAUUUUUUUUGGAACAACUGCACAUUCUAAAAGUCUUUUAUUCUUUUUGGUAUCCAACUUCAUUGGCUCUAUAUUGGUAACGAUUAUCACAAAAGGUGGUUUUGAUGCGCGUCUAGCUCUCAUGUUUUGGCUACUAUCUUCUUUGUCUGUAGCUCACUUUGUACUUUCAAUUGCCAAGACGCUCCCUCUCUCAAACUCUUAACUAGAACUAUUAUGCUUGAAAAUAUAAGAAACACAAGAAAUAGCAAUAUCAGAAAACAACCAAGAACAACAAUACAAAAUGACUUCUAAUUCGUGCCCUAUUCCUAUUCUCUUACUAUCGGUGAUCAUGACAAUAUGUUACCUAUACUGUCCGCUUUUCACCUCUCUCCCAUUUGACACAUUAAUAACUACUAACUAUUCUUUCAACCGCCUCUACACCCUAAUGCUCUUAUACCAUAAUUAGGUCUACCCUGUGUCCAUUUGAAGUCACCUCCUCCAAAAAAAUAAAAACCCAUUGUCGUAUGGCAUGAUUUGCUAUCUGGGAAUACAUUGGGUAUCUAGCUAUAGAGAGUGUACCUUAAACCUUUAUAUGAUUCUUUUCUUAGCUUCCAAAACUCCUUUAUUUUUGUAUAAAACUCCAAAUAUAACAAAAUCCCUUCAAAACAUAUUUUUCCCGCGAAGGGUUUCCUCGCCUCAAACUUUAGAAAAUCGUAACUAUUGAUCUAACCGUUCAGUUUGUUUCAAAUUUACAAGAUAGGUAGAAUUUAUCCUUAA
RNAcentral lists this long non-coding RNA (1225 nucleotides) under Physcomitrium patens. Its description in RNAcentral is "long non-coding RNA (PPAT_LNC004020)". The record is from RNAcentral. Lineage: Eukaryota; Viridiplantae; Streptophyta; Bryopsida; Funariales; Funariaceae.